Long non-coding RNA from Erinaceus europaeus (western European hedgehog), 384 nucleotides. RefSeq lists it as uncharacterized. The transcript is spliced from 2 exons. Lineage: Eukaryota; Metazoa; Chordata; Mammalia; Eulipotyphla; Erinaceidae. The record is from RefSeq and is a predicted model, not a curated record.
GUGUUGACUGUGCCAAGAAGCUUUUCCAGGCAUUACUCAAUUUACCCUUUAGGUUCCCAAAUGUGCCCUUUUCACAGAGAAAGGAACUAAAGCAUACAGGGAACUUGCCCAUAUCCAUAUGGAUUCACUGGAAAUGUACGUGUUGAAUUACCAGUUUAAAGAAUCAAGGGGCUGAGAGAUCCAGUCAACAAAGUGGGUACCUUACCAACCAUGAGGCCCUGGGUUCAAGACUCUGCACCAUGUGGGGACACCAUUGACAGUACCAGAGAAGCUCCAUGGAUGAAUGGUGGAGUGGUGUUGAGUUCUCACCCUUUGACCCUGUCUGCCUGCACCCCUCCCCAAUUACCUAAAUUAAAAGAAAAAAUAAAAAACAAAUGGAAUCAA